UGCUUUCCAUGCAGUCGUACGAGGUGUUAAAACUUUAGUGGCGGACGGGUGAGUAACACGUGAGAAUUUACCUUUAGGAGGGGAAUAACAGUUGGAAACGACUGCUAAUGCCGCAUAUCAUAAUUUAUGAAAGAAGAAAUUCGCCUAAAGAAAAGCUUGCGUCUGAUUAGCUAGUUGGUAAGGGUAAAGGCCUACCAAGGCGACGAUCAGUAGCUGGUUUGAGAGGACGACCAGUCACACUGGAACUGAGACACGGUCCAGACUCCUACGGGAGGCAGCAGUGGGGUAUUUUCUGCAAUGGGCGAAAGCCUGACAGAGCAAUACCGCGUGAGGGAAGAAAGCCCACAGGGUUGUAAACCUCUUUUGUCAAGGAAGAAGUUCUGACGUUACUUGACGAAUAAGCAUCGGCUAACUCCGUGCCAGCAGCCGCGGUAAGACGGGGGAUGCAAGUGUUAUCCGGAAUCACUGGGCGUAAAGCGUUUGUAGGUGGUCUAGUAAGUCUAUUGUUAAAUCUUGAAGCUUAACUUCAAAAGUGUAAUAGAAACUACUAGACUUGAGGAUAG
This 563-nucleotide ribosomal RNA is filed under the name uncultured bacterium. Its description in RNAcentral is "bacterial SSU rRNA". It matches the Rfam family "Bacterial small subunit ribosomal RNA", at positions 45 to 651 of the family's 1533-position model. The record is from RNAcentral.